RNAcentral lists this ribosomal RNA (254 nucleotides) under uncultured bacterium. RNAcentral's name for it is "partial 16S ribosomal RNA". It matches the Rfam family "Bacterial small subunit ribosomal RNA", at positions 793 to 1055 of the family's 1533-position model. The record is from RNAcentral.
GUCCACGCCGUAAACGAUGGAUACUAGCUGUUGGGCGCAAGUUCAGUGGCUAAGCGAAAGUGAUAAGUAUCCCACCUGGGGAGUACGUUCGCAAGAAUGAAACUCAAAGGAAUUGACGGGGCCCGCACAAGCGGUGGAGCAUGUGGUUUAAUUCGAUGAUACGCGAGGAACCUUACCAAGGCUUAAAUGUAGAUUGACCGGACUGGAAACAGUUUUUUCGCAAGACAAUUUACAAGGUGCUGCAUGGUUGUCGU